GCUGAAGCCUGGUGCUUGCACCGGGUGGAUGAGUGGCGAACGGGUGAGUAACACGUGAGUAACCUGCCCCUGACUUCGGGAUAAGCCCGGGAAACUGGGUCUAAUACCGGAUACGACUGCCGGACGCAUGUCUGGUGGUGGAAAGUUUUUUCGGUUGGGGAUGGGCUCGCGGCCUAUCAGUUUGUUGGUGAGGUAAUGGCUCACCAAGACGACGACGGGUAGCCGGCCUGAGAGGGCGACCGGCCACACUGGGACUGAGACACGGCCCAGACUCCUACGGGAGGCAGCAGUGGGGAAUAUUGCACAAUGGGGGAAACCCUGAUGCAGCGACGCAGCGUGCGGGAUGACGGCCUUCGGGUUGUAAACCGCUUUCAGCAGGGAAGAAGCGCAAGUGACGGUACCUGCAGAAGAAGUACCGGCUAACUACGUGCCAGCAGCCGCGGUAAUACGUAGGGUACGAGCGUUGUCCGGAAUUAUUGGGCGUAAAGAGCUCGUAGGUGGUUGGUCACGUCUGCUGUGGAAACGCAACGCUUAACGUUGCGCGUGCAGUGGGUACGGGCUGACUAGAGUGCAGUAGGGGAGUCUGGAAUUCCUGGUGUAGCGGUGAAAUGCGCAGAUAUCAGGAGGAACACCGGUGGCGAAGGCGGGACUCUGGGCUGUAACUGACACUGAGGAGCGAAAGCAUGGGGAGCGAACAGGAUUAGAUACCCUGGUAGUCCAUGCCGUAAACGUUGGGCACUAGGUGUGGGG
Molecule: ribosomal RNA, 750 nt
Filed under: Brevibacterium casei
Lineage: Bacteria; Bacillati; Actinomycetota; Actinomycetes; Micrococcales; Brevibacteriaceae
Description: bacterial SSU rRNA
Rfam family: Bacterial small subunit ribosomal RNA
Source: RNAcentral